CCUACGGGUGGCAGCAGUGAGGAAUAUUGGUCAAUGGGCGGAAGCCUGAACCAGCCAAGUAGCGUGCGGGAUGAAGGCCCUACGGGUCGUAAACCGCUUUUGCACGGGGAUAACACCCUCCACUUGUGGAGGUCUGCAGGUACCGUGCGAAUAAGGGCCGGCUAAUUCCGUGCCAGCAGCCGCGGUAAUACGGAGGGACCGGGGGUUAUCCGGAUUCAUUGGGGUUAAUGGGAGCGUAGGGGGGGGGUAAAGUCAGCUGUAAAAUCGCGGGGCUCAACCGCGCCCCGCAGUUGAAACUGGACGGCUUGAGUGCACAACAGGCAGGCGGAAUUCGUGGUGUAGCGGUGAAAUGCAUAGAUAUCACGAGGAACCCCGAUUGCGAAGGCAGCCUGCCGGGGUGCGACUGACGCUGAGGCUCGAAGGUGCGGGUAUCAAACAGGAUUAGAUACCCUUGUAGUC
This 459-nucleotide ribosomal RNA is filed under the name uncultured bacterium. Its description in RNAcentral is "partial 16S ribosomal RNA". It matches the Rfam family "Bacterial small subunit ribosomal RNA", at positions 338 to 795 of the family's 1533-position model. The record is from RNAcentral.